This 424-nucleotide ribosomal RNA is filed under the name Verrucomicrobiota bacterium. RNAcentral's name for it is "Verrucomicrobia bacterium partial 16S ribosomal RNA". It matches the Rfam family "Bacterial small subunit ribosomal RNA", at positions 355 to 776 of the family's 1533-position model. The record is from RNAcentral. Lineage: Bacteria; Pseudomonadati; Verrucomicrobiota.
UGAGGAAUAUUGGUCAAUGGGCGAGAGCCUGAACCAGCCAAGUAGCGUGCAGGAUGACGGCCCUAUGGGUUGUAAACUGCUUUUAUAUGGGAAUAAAGUGAGGGACGUGUCCCUUAUUGCAUGUACCAUACGAAUAAGGACCGGCUAAUUCCGUGCCAGCCGCCGCGGUAAUACGGAAGGUCCAGGCGUUAUCCGGAUUUAUUGGGUUUAAAGGGAGCGUAGGCUGUUUGUUAAGCGUGUUGUGAAAUGUAAGAGCUCAACUUUUAGAUUGCAGCGAGAACUGGCAGACUUGAGUGCGCACAACGUAGGCGGAAUGCAUGGUGUAGCGGUGAAAUGCUUAGAUAUCAUGACGAACUCCGAUUGCGAAGGCAGCUUACGGGAGCGCAACUGACGCUAAAGCUCGAAGGUGCGGGUAUCGAACAGG